RNAcentral lists this ribosomal RNA (395 nucleotides) under Catara sp. W18. RNAcentral describes it as "partial large subunit ribosomal RNA". Lineage: Eukaryota; Metazoa; Arthropoda; Insecta; Blattodea; Blattidae. The record is from RNAcentral.
CGCUUUUUGUAUAUUUAAUUUUAAGUAUAACCUGCCCACUGAUAAUUUAUUGAAGGGCCGCGGUAUUUUGACCGUGCAAAGGUAGCAUAAUCAUUAGUUUUUUAAUUGAAGACUUGUAUGAAUGGAUUGACGAGGAAUAAUCUGUUUCUUAUUAUAUUAUUGAAUUUAAUUUUUAAGUUAAAAAGCUUAAAUUUUUUUAUGGGACGAGAAGACCCUAUAGAGUUUUAUAUAUUAUAUUUAUUUGUUUAUUUGUUUAUUUAUUUAUUAUAUAAUUUAUUUUGUUGGGGUGAUAUAAAGAAUUAAUUAACUCUUUUUUUUUGUAUACAUUAAUUUAUGAAUAUAUGAUCCAUUUUUGUUGAUUAAAAGAUUAAAUUACCUUAGGGAUAACAGCGUAA